GACGAACGCUGGCGGCGUGCUUAACACAUGCAAGUCGAACGGAAAGGCCCUGCUUUUGUGGGGUGCUCGAGUGGCGAACGGGUGAGUAACACGUGAGUAACCUGCCCUUGACUUUGGGAUAACUUCAGGAAACUGGGGCUAAUACCGGAUAGGAGCUCCUGCUGCAUGGUGGGGGUUGGAAAGUUUCGGCGGUUGGGGAUGGACUCGCGGCUUAUCAGCUGGUUGGUGGGGUAGUGGCUUACCAAGGGUUUGACGGGUAGCCGGCCUGGGAGGGUGACCGGCCACAUGGGGACUGAGAGACGGACCAGACUGCAACGGUAGGCAGCAGUGGGGAAUAUUGCACAGUGGGCGGAAGCCUGAUGCAGCAACGCCGCGUGCGGGAUGACGGCCUUCGGGUUGUAAACCGCUUUCGCCUGUGACGAAGCGUGAGUGACGGUAAUGGGUAAAGAAGCACCGGCUAACUACGUG
Molecule: ribosomal RNA, 468 nt
Filed under: uncultured bacterium
Lineage: Bacteria
Description: partial 16S ribosomal RNA
Rfam family: Bacterial small subunit ribosomal RNA
Source: RNAcentral